Clostridium sp. ATCC 29733 is the source of this 88-nucleotide non-coding RNA. The record is from Rfam. Lineage: Bacteria; Bacillati; Bacillota; Clostridia; Eubacteriales; Clostridiaceae.
UGAAUAGAUGGGCAAACCGGGCGAAAGACCGGGACGCAAAGCCAAGGGCCUACCUCCCCCCAGGGGGACAGGGCAGCCGGCUGCACCU